GGGACUUAUAUUUAGUCAAUUAUUAUUAUUUAAAUUCUUUCCAUAUAAACAUUGACAGCUAACCUUUGUAUUCUGUGAUAACCUACUUCUUAGGUUUGAACCAGGAUGUGGACAUGAAGCUAGGGUUAUUGUUUGGGCUACGGUUAAGGUUGAACCAGGAUGUGGACAUGAAGCUAGGGUUAGGGUUUAGGCUACGGUUAAGGUUGAACCAGGAUGUGGACAUGAAGCUAGGGUUAGGGUUUAGGCUACGGUUAAGGUUGAACCAGGAUGUGGACAUGAAGCUAGGGUUAUUGUUUGGGCUACGGUUAAGGUUGAACCAGGAUGUGGACAUGAAGCUAGGGUUAGGGUUUAGGCUACGGUUAAGGUUGAACCAGGAUGUGGACAUGAAGCUAGGGUUAGGGUUUAGGCUACGGUUAAGGUUGAACCAGGAUGUGGACAUGAAGCUAGUGUUAGGGUUUAGGCUACGGUUAAGGUUGAACCAGGAUGUGGACAUGAAGCUAGGGUUAGGGUUUAGGCUAUGGUUAAGGUUGAACCAGGAUGUGGACAUGAAGCUAGGGUUAGGGUUUAGGCUACGGUUAAGGUUGAACCAGGAUGUGGACAUGAAGCUAGGGUUAGGGUUUAGGCUACGGUUAAGGUUGAACCAGGAUGUGGACAUGAAGCUAGGGUUAGGGUUUAGGCUACGGUUAAGGUUGAACCAGGAUGUGGACAUGAAGCUAGGGUUAGGGUUUAGGCUACGGUUAAGGUUGAACCAGGAUGUGGACAUGAAGCUAGGGUUAGGGUUUAGGCUACGGUUAAGGUUGAACCAGGAUGUGGACAUGAAGCUAGGGUUAUGGUUUAGGCUACGGUUAAGGUUGAACCAGGAUGUGGACAUGAAGCUAGGGUUAGGGUUUAGGCUACGGUUAAGGUUGAACCAGGAUGUGGACAUGAAGUGAGGGUUAUUGUUUGGGCUACGGUUAAGGUUGAACCAGGAUGUGGACAUGAAGCUAGGGUUAGGGUUUAGGCUACGGUUAAG
This 1012-nucleotide long non-coding RNA is filed under the name Salmo salar (Atlantic salmon). Its description in RNAcentral is "lncRNA (ENSSSAG00000113773.1)". Lineage: Eukaryota; Metazoa; Chordata; Actinopteri; Salmoniformes; Salmonidae. The record is from RNAcentral.